RNAcentral lists this ribosomal RNA (1188 nucleotides) under Triticum aestivum (bread wheat). RNAcentral's name for it is "partial small subunit ribosomal RNA". Lineage: Eukaryota; Viridiplantae; Streptophyta; Magnoliopsida; Poales; Poaceae. The record is from RNAcentral.
AUGUCACUGGACCACAGCCCCACGGGCUCCCUCGUCGUGUACGGCGAUGACAUCGAGGAGGCCAUGUCCCCCAACCGGAGCGUCGCCGCCGUGGCCGUCAAGGACGGCGACGCCUCCGUGUACAAGAUCAUCCACGGCUUCCUCAAGCAGAAGAACAACUCCAUCAUCAACGUCGCCGCCAGCGUCGCCCGCAAGGCCGCCUCCAACAAGCUGUCGAGGAAGACUUCGGAUGUUUUCGACACCUUGAUUCAGCAGCAGCAGAGCAGGCUGGGGAACAAGACCGGGCCUCUGCUCUCUGGGAUAUCCUACUGCAUAGCCUCUUGCAGCAUGAUAUUGCUCAACAAGGUGGUUCUCUCCAGCUACAACUUCAAUGCUGGAAUCUCACUCAUGUUGUACCAGAAUCUUAUAUCCGUGGUCAUUCUUGUGGCACUCGAGUUCUUCAGCGUAAUUUCAACGGAAGAACUGACAUGGAAGUUGAUCAAAGUCUGGAUUCCAGUUAAUCUCAUUUUUGUUGGAAUGCUAGUAACUGGAAUGUACAGUUUGAAGUACAUAAAUGUUGCCAUGGUGACAAUAUUAAAGAACAUGACAAACAUUUUAACGGCUAUAGGGGAGAUAUAUGUUUUCAGGAAGUGUCAGAACAAACAGGUUUGGGCUGCCUUAUGUAUGAUGAUUAUAUCAGCUGUAAGUGGCGGCAUGACAGAUCUUUCUUUCCAUCUAGUCGGUUACACGUGGCAGAUUUUGAAUUGCUUUCUGACAGCAGCCUAUUCGCUUACACUGAGACGCCUGAUGGACACAGCCAAACAAUCAACUAAAUCGGGUUCUCUCAAUGAAGUUUCUAUGGUGCUACUUAACAAUGCGCUCUCGAUCCCUUUCGCGGUCAUUUUGAUUAUUGUCUUCAACGAGUGGGAAUACGUGUACCAAACCGAAGUUAUCAGAGAGCCCAUGUUCUGGUUUUUUGCGACCGCCAGUGGAUUGUUAGGACUAGCGAUCAGCUUCUCAUCCGUGUGGUUUUUACAGGAGACUGGCCCAACAACUUACAGCCUUGUUGGCUCACUAAACAAGAUACCCAUUUCGGUCGCUGGUGUCUUGCUAUUCAACGUCCCUGUUAGCGUGGAAAAUUUGUUCAGCAUAGUUUUCGGCCUUUUUGCUGGGAUAUUCUUCGCAAAGGCAAAGAUGUCCAAGUCCUAA